UUUAAAUAUUUAUUGAGCACCUACUGUGUGCCAGAUGCCAUAAUGCCACUGGAGAACCAGCAAUGGACAAAACAAGGCCUUGAAAACCCAAAGAGGCACUUUUCCAACGAGGACAUGCAGAUGGCCAACAGACACAUGAAAAGAUGCUCAAUAUCACUAAUCAUCAAGGAAAUGCAAAUCAAAACCACAGUGAGAUAUCGCCGCACAUCUGUCAGAAUGGCCAUUAUCAAAACCACAUGAGGGAGUUCCCGCCCUGGCGCAGUGGAAACACAUCCGACGAGGAACCAUGAGGUUGCGUGUUCGAUCCCUGGCCUCACUCAGUGGGUUAAGGAUCUGGUGUUGCCACGAGCUAUAGUGUAGGUCAAAGAUGUGGCUCAGAUCUGGUGGUGUUGUGACUGUAGCGUAGGCUGGCAGCAACACCUCUGAUUCAACCCCUAGCCUGGGAACCUCCAUAUGCUGCUGGUGUGGCCCUAAAAAGCAAAAAAGAAAAAGAAAAAAAAAAGAAACAAACAAAUGUUGGUGAAAAUGUGGAGAAAAGGGAACCCUCAUACACCAUUGGUAGGAAUGUAAAUUGGUGUUGACACUGUGGAAAACAGUAUGUUUUCUCAGAAAACUAAAAAUGGAACUACCAUAUGACAUAGCAGUUCCCCUCCUGGGCGUAUAUCUGAAAAAAAAACAAACAAACAAACAAAAAAAAAACGCUAAUGCAGAAAGUUAUAUGCACCUCCAUGUUCACAGCAACAUUAUUUACAAUUGCCAAGAUACGGAAGCAACCUAAGUGUCCAUCCACAGAUGAAUGGAUUAAGAAGAUGAGGUAUAUUACACAAUGGAAUAUUAGCCAUAAAAAGAAUGAAAUUUUGUCAUUUACAACAACAUGAAUGGACUUGGAAAGUAAUAGUGAAGUAAGUCAGACAGAGAAAGACAAAUACUGUAUCAUAUCACUUAUAUGUGGAAUCUAAAAAAUGUAACAAACUAGGAGUUCCCUGGUGGCUCAGCAGGUUAAGGACCUGAUGUUGUGACAGCUGUGGCAUGGGUUUGAUCCCUGGCUGGGGAACUUCUGCAUGCCAUGAGUACAGCCAAAAAAAAAACAAAACAAAUAAGCUACGAGGAUAUAUUGUACAACACAGGAGAUCUGGCCAAUAUUUUAUAAUAAGUAUAAAUGGAGUAUAACUUUUAAAAAUUGUGAAUCAGGGAGUUCCCAUUGUGGCACAGUGGAACCGAAUCCAAUUAGGAACCAUGAGGUUGGGGGUUCAAUCCCUGGCCUCACUCAGUGGGUUUAGGAUCUGCCGUUGCUGUGGCUGUGGUGUAGGCCAGUGGCUACAGGUCCAAUUGGACCCCUAGCCUGGAACUUUCAUAUGCUGCAGGUGCGGCCCUAGACAACAACAAUAACAAAUUGUGAAUCACUAUAGUGUACACCCAUAACUUACAUAAUACUGUACAUUAAUUAUAUUUCAAUUACAAAAAUCCCUGUCUUGGAGUUCCUAUUGUGGCUCAAAGGGUUAAGAACCCGACAUAGUGUCUGUGAGGAUGUGGGUUGGAUCCCUGGCAUUGCUCAGUGGAUUAAGGAUCUGGUGUUGCUGUGGCUAUGGCGUAGGCUGAAAGCUGCAACUUCAUUUUGAUCCCUAGCCUGGGAACUUCCAUAUGCCACAGACAUGGCCCUAAAAAAAAAGGAAAAAAAAGAAAAAAUCCCUGGCUUGGAGUUCCCUGGUGGCUCAGUGGGUUAUGGAUCUACUACUGUGGCUCUGGUUAGUGCUGUGGUGCAAGUUCGAUCCCUGCACCGGAAACUUCAACAUGCCAUGGGCAGCAUCCCCCACCCCGCCACCAAUCCCUUAUUUUGCCUUUAUGCCUGGGCAAAGAUUUUUUUUUUCUUUUUUUUUCCCAGGCUAGAGAUCCCAUCAGAUCUGGAGCUGCUGGCCUACGCCACAGCCACAGCAACACCAGAUCCAAGCCGUGUCUGCGACCUACACCACAGCUCACAGCAACGCUGGAUCCUUAACCCACUGAGCGAGGCCAGGGACCGACCCCUCGUCCUCAGAGAAUGCUAGUCAGGUUCAUUACCGCUGAGCCAUGACGGGACCUCCUGCAUUUAGAUUUUUAGCGAACAUCUACUUUGCACCUCACCUCAAGUUGGUUGCUGGGGAGAAGCAGAAAGGAGGCGUGGGCUGGGCUAGUAUGCAGGUGGACUCAGCCCACCCCUAGUGAGGCUCCCUGCCUGGACUUCUGGGAGAGGCUUGAAUGAGCCUUGAAGGAGACACCUGACUAUCAAAGGAGGGGGCGAAACAGCAUCCCGAGCCAAGGAAAUGACAUAGUAAAAGCCUCCAAGGUGUUUGGGGUUCAUGACUCCUCGGCACAGUUAAAGCCUGGGGUCCACGGGACAGGACAGUCGGGGGAGAGAUGAAGUGAUGAGGCCAAAACCAGAGCAGCGGCUGACUGCACCUCAGGAGUCUGCGGGGGAAGGACUUUGUGGACGUGGCGAUUAUCUCAACUAUUUGUGGGGCAAUCACAGGAGCAUCUGGGGAGAAAACUGGCCCCAGAAGGAAAAGGGCUGCAGGCGGGAAGACCAGAAAGGAUGCUGUUCAGAUGGCCCAGGUGAAAGCCAGUGAGGGCCUAGACUGAGCAGACGUGGUGGGAUGGAGGGGCCCCAGGAGACAGCUCUGGAUUUGGCAGUUGCGGGGGAGGAGCUAGAACAUUGUGCUUUUACAAGAGUGGGUUAUUUAUCCAAAAACAAACAAAACAAAACAACAGCAACAACAGAGCAUUGCCGCAAGCUGUGGUGUAGGCUGCAGAUGUGGCUUGGAUCCAGCGUGGCUGUGGCUGUGCCGUAAGCCAGCAGCUGCAGCUCCAAUUCGAGCCCAGGAACUUCCAUAUGCCUCAGGUGGGGCCCUAGAAAAGGACAGAAAAAAAAAAAUACAAGAAUGGGCUUUGUCAUCAAAAGGUGCUGGCAGGAGCCCCAGCAUCCCUUGACUGACUGGGAAGUAACCAUUUCAAGCCUGCUUCCUGAUCUGGACACUGGGGAUGCAGCAGCAGCAGCAGCUCUGAGCUUGGGAGGAUUAUGGGGGCUACUCAGAGAAGCCUUGGCCUUGGUGGAUGCUCAGAACACAGCAGCAUCAUUUGGAUGGAGGAGGGAGCCAAGGAUAGCUUUCUGUCUGCUUUGACUGACUGGGUAGAGAGAGAUGCCAGCUUUGUUGGCGAGCACAGGAAGGGGCACUUUGAGGCCACCACAGUCUUGGUGGUCAGUGUCAAAGCCAUGGCCUCGUUCACCCGUCAUCUCCGAUUGUACCUCUGGUCUCGGUCCUUGGCACUCAGCUCAGUGCUCAGGCACAUAGUAGGUGCUGCUCUUGAGGAGCAGGACCCAGCUUGCAAGUAGAGAGGCAGAUAUUACAGGCAGGUAGGGGGGCCCGAACCUGGGAAGGUGAGAGAGCAAAGAAAGGAGUUGGACCUGGGAGGAGGCUCAGGGAAUCCUGACUCUGAGGGGACGGGGAAGAAAGGGCAGGUCAGGAAGGAGGCUGGGAAACAAGAGUGUGGCAGGGGAAGGGAUGGGAGGCAGGAGGCAGGUGGGAGCCUAGGAGGGAAGAAGAGAGAGGUCACAUUUGGCUGAAAAAUCAGUGGAGGAUAAGGCCUGGCAAGUGGCUGAUGGAUUUGGUGUAGAGGAGGUCCCUGGGGAACUUGGCUAAAAGCAGAUUCAAAGGCCAAGAACAGGAAGAGAUGGACUUUAAGGAGAGGGACCCAGGAUACUCUGACCCUCCGGGGUACCAGAACCUUCCUCUCCAUAAGGACAUAUUUUGUUUUGACAGAGCCAUCUAAAGAUAAGCCAGGAGGUCUCUGGAGGUGGUGAACACCCGGUCCCUGGAGGGAGACAAGCAGAGCUCUGAGACCCACGCUGUCCGGGGACAUGCACAUUUAGCAUAGGGAAGGCUGUGCAAAAAAAAUAAAUAAAUAAGCCCCAUGUCCUUCUCAGCUAGGCUUGGCCGAUUCCUUGCAUCACAAAAGCCACCUAGAGGGUCACUCUUGCUAUUUCUAGUGUCCAAAGAGCCUCCCGCAGGGACGCACACACAGGGGUGGUCGUGCACAGACUCCCACAGAUCCACCCCAACACAAAAUAUAAAAUCUAUCUGUAUCUCCUGGUGUAAAGGGAUCCACGGCACGUCUCCCCAGGUUAUUCCCUUAAUUCAUUCCCUUUC
This 4181-nucleotide long non-coding RNA is filed under the name Sus scrofa (pig). RNAcentral's name for it is "lncRNA (ENSSSCG00040071363.1)". The record is from RNAcentral. Lineage: Eukaryota; Metazoa; Chordata; Mammalia; Artiodactyla; Suidae.